GGUGGCUCAGUGGUAGAGCGCUUGCCAUGUAUGCAUGAGGCCCUGGGUUCAAUUCCUCAGCACCA
Molecule: transfer RNA, 65 nt
Filed under: Dipodomys ordii (Ord's kangaroo rat)
Lineage: Eukaryota; Metazoa; Chordata; Mammalia; Rodentia; Heteromyidae
Rfam family: tRNA
About the family: Transfer RNA (tRNA) molecules are approximately 80 nucleotides in length. Their secondary structure includes four short double-helical elements and three loops (D, anti-codon, and T loops).
Source: Rfam by way of RNAcentral